UCUUCUGUCUUAUAGCCUAUUUCCCUUUUGUUUACUUCGAUUCUUAUUAAGUGUGAGCUAGUUUCUGUUCUUAAACAUGAGUUUCGUAGCUGAGGUUAAUUGUGAAAAUCUGUUGGGCGAGAAAAGGCCUAAGCUGGUUGUUCUUGUGCUUACUGUGGUGUGCAUUAGAAGUGAAAUAAAGCUUUAGGUUUUCUUAUCCUAAGCAUGACAUUUUAGAAGAGGCAGAGGGUGUGCAAGUGCUUUACUAUAUCCUUCCAUUUAUUCCCAUCAUGUUAUUAAGAUCUGAAAUGGUGGUGCUCUAAACAUGCUUGUGCUUGGUUUCUACAUGAGCAUGAAAUGAGGGUGUUGUGGAGCUACCUGCUGUGCUGUGGUGAUGAAACUGGAAGAGAAACUGAUGUGUUCUUGCUAGCUUAGUCUACUCACUGCCCCUUUCACAAAGUUCACUCUCACUGUUGCUGGAAAAUUCUCAUGGUGUUUAUGAGAGUGUUCAUAGGUGGUGUGGAGGGGAAUUUAUAGGCAGAGUGUGUACUCGUGAGGCCUUAAUUGGAGCUGUUGUAUUCCCUUGUUCUCUUCCUGCAGCAAAUCCUCUUUAUUGUGAUUCUGCAGCAAAACUUUAACUGAAAAUUGGCUCCAUAUGGGUACCUAGUACUUAGCUAUUAACUUCCAUUGUUUGCUUGUGGCUGGUGAGAAAACAGGUGCUGCAUUAGUGUGGAGGAUUUGCAGGAUUGACUUGCCCCUUUUGGGUAAGUCUUUGGUCUUUCAACUAAAGGGAGGUUGUCUCCUUCCUCAUGGUUGGGAGAGGACUUGGGCUGCCAAGCUGCUGUCCGAGACGGGCUUGAUGCCUCGGGCCCAACAGGCUGAUCGGAUAGGGCCGACUUAUUGGGCUUCAAAAGGGCGUGAUGCGGUUCACAAGAUUAGGCCCGUUGUUUAUAGUCUUGUGAUUGUAGUCAUGAUCUGUUUUUUUUUU
Long non-coding RNA from Salvia hispanica, 967 nucleotides. RefSeq lists it as uncharacterized. The record is from RefSeq and is a predicted model, not a curated record. NCBI's taxonomy places the organism in Eukaryota, Viridiplantae, Streptophyta, Magnoliopsida, Lamiales, Lamiaceae.